Molecule: ribosomal RNA, 301 nt
Filed under: uncultured bacterium
Lineage: Bacteria
Description: partial 16S ribosomal RNA
Rfam family: Bacterial small subunit ribosomal RNA
Source: RNAcentral
CAGCCGCCACGGGAAUACGUAGGUGGCAAGCGUUGUCCGGAAUUAUUGGGCGUGAAGGGCUCGCAGGCGGUUUCUUAAGUCUGAUGUGAAAGCCCCCGGCUCAACCGGGGAGGGUCAUUGGAAACUGGGAAACUUGAGUGCAGAAGAGGAGAGUGGAGUUCCACGUGUAGCGGUGAAAUGCGUAGAGAUGUGGAGGAACACCAGUGGCGAAGGCGACUCUCUGGUCUGUAACUGACGCUGAGGAGCGAAAGCGUGGGGAGCGAACAGGAUUAGAUACCCCCGUAGUCCCUGUCUCUUAUAC